UACGAAGGGACCUAGCGUAAUUCGGAAUUACUGGGCGUAAAGCGCGCGUAGGCGGUUAAGUAAGUUAAUUGUGAAAGCCCAAAGCUCAACUUUGGAAUUGCAAUUAAAACUACUUAGCUAGAGUUUAUCAGAGGAAAGCGGAAUACAUAGUGUAGAGGUGAAAUUCGUAGAUAUUAUGUAGAACACCAGUUGCGAAGGCGGCUUUCUGGGAUAAUACUGACGCUGAGGUGCGAAAGUAUGGGUAGCGAAGAGG
RNAcentral lists this ribosomal RNA (253 nucleotides) under uncultured Pelagibacterales bacterium. RNAcentral describes it as "partial 16S ribosomal RNA". It matches the Rfam family "Bacterial small subunit ribosomal RNA", at positions 524 to 776 of the family's 1533-position model. The record is from RNAcentral. Lineage: Bacteria; Pseudomonadati; Pseudomonadota; Alphaproteobacteria; Candidatus Pelagibacterales.